GCAGUGAGGGUGAUCUGGCUGCUACAUCUGUCACCCCAUUGAUCAGGGUUGAUUUAGCUGAUCUGGCUGGCUAGGCGGCUGUCCCCUUCCUCACUGCUCCAUGUGCUUUCCUCCCGAAGCUACGUGCUCGGUUGAAGAGGACAGCCUUCCCCAAAUAGAGACUGACGGGUCUUGGGUGGAAGGUAUAUGAGUAGCUGCACUCCCCCGCUAGAUCCUCCAAACAAGCUCUCUUGUUCUUAUAAAAUAAUAUAUUUACAUAGGUUACUCCUACCAUUCUUCUUUAAG
Molecule: small nuclear RNA, 285 nt
Filed under: Sorex araneus (European shrew)
Lineage: Eukaryota; Metazoa; Chordata; Mammalia; Eulipotyphla; Soricidae
Description: 7SK RNA (ENSSARG00000018219.1)
Rfam family: 7SK RNA
About the family: 7SK was discovered as an abundant small nuclear RNA in the mid-70s but a possible function has only recently been suggested. Two independent studies have found that 7SK RNA binds the CDK9/cyclin T complex (known as elongation factor P-TEFb).
Source: RNAcentral